GAAAUGCGAUAAGUAAUGUGAAUUGCAGAAUUCAGUGAAUCAUCGAAUCUUUGAACGCACCUUGCGCUCCUUGGUAUUCCGAGGAGCAUGCCUGUUUGAGUGUCAUGGAAUUCUCAACUCUAUUUGCUUUUGUGAAUAGAGCUUGGAUUUGGAGGUUUAUUGCUGGUACUUGUGAUCGGCUCCUCUUGAAUGCAUUAGCUCGAACCUUUGCGGAUCAGCUAUCGGUGUGAUAAUUGUCUACGCCGUUGCAGUGAAGCAUAUCAAUGGGCUCGGCUUCCAAUCGUCCUUUACUGGACAAUGACUUUGACCUUUGACCUCAAAUCAGGUAGGAUUACCCGCUGAACUGAAGC
Molecule: unclassified non-coding RNA, 350 nt
Filed under: plant metagenome
Description: partial contains 5.8S ribosomal RNA, internal transcribed spacer 2, and large subunit ribosomal RNA
Rfam family: 5.8S ribosomal RNA (bases 1-105)
Source: RNAcentral